UGCGAAGUGGAGCAGUUGGUAGCUCGCAAGGCUCAUAACCUUGAGGUCACUCGUUCGAAUCGAGUCUUCGCAA
This 73-nucleotide transfer RNA is filed under the name Bacteriophage sp. RNAcentral describes it as "tRNA-Met". It matches the Rfam family "tRNA". Rfam says of the family: Transfer RNA (tRNA) molecules are approximately 80 nucleotides in length. Their secondary structure includes four short double-helical elements and three loops (D, anti-codon, and T loops). Further hydrogen bonds mediate the characteristic L-shaped molecular structure. tRNAs have two regions of fundamental functional importance: the anti-codon, which is responsible for specific mRNA codon recognition, and the 3' end, to which the tRNAs corresponding amino acid is attached (by aminoacyl-tRNA synthetases). tRNAs cope with the degeneracy of the genetic code in two manners: having more than one tRNA (with a specific anti-codon) for a particular amino acid; and 'wobble' base-pairing, i.e. permitting non-standard base-pairing at the 3rd anti-codon position. The record is from RNAcentral.